UAAUGUAUGGGGAUCUGCCUGAUGGCGGGGGAUAACUACUGGAAACGGUAGCUAAUGCCGCAUAAUGUCUGCGGACCAAAGCGGGGGACCUCCGGGCCUCGCGCCAUCAGAUGAACCCAUAUGGGAUUAGCUUGUAGGUAAGGUAACGGCUUACCUAGGCGACGAUCCCUAGCUGGUCUGAGAGGAUGAUCAGCCACACUGGGACUGAGACACGGCCCAG
This 220-nucleotide ribosomal RNA is filed under the name uncultured bacterium. Its description in RNAcentral is "partial 16S ribosomal RNA". It matches the Rfam family "Bacterial small subunit ribosomal RNA", at positions 111 to 334 of the family's 1533-position model. The record is from RNAcentral.